AGUAAGACACUUCAGCAGACACAGCCGGCCCAUCGGGAAUCCUCACGAAUCUCCCGAUUAGCCACUCCGGGCCUGGACACACUGACAAAGUUGUAAUUAACUGAUUUCCAAUUUCCAGUCUUCAUUAUUCAUCUUUUAAUAAUGCUUUUUCCGCCCAAUUCCUUUGGAGGGGAGUGCAGACAUAUGUUCUCAGUCUUCAAACUGAUUGGGCAUAAAAAAGGCCACUGCAAAUUUCAUAUUUCUUUAUUUGUGGAUUUCAUGCAUCUGUUUGCCAGUAUUCAUGCCCUUAGUGCUGUCAUUAUCAGCCAGCAUUGGCAGAGCAGCCAAAAAAAUAUUGAGAGCAUGUGUGCUGUUUGACAAAAAGGUUAAUUUAUAUAAAAUAAAAAAACACUUGAGGCUUGUAGUGUAAAGACAGCCACUGACACUGGUGAUUUUUUUUUUAGAUUUUAUAUAACAUUUUAUUAUUUUAUUGUUUAUUCUAUUAUAAUUCUGGUCUAAGUGAUUCCUAAAUGGCCAGUGAGUUUAUUUAACUGCGACUGAGUGAAUACAGCCCAAACCCAAGGUGUGUUAAAAACAGUUUUUUUAGUCCGGUGUUCUGUCGAAUUUUGCUACCCAUCGAUACAUGCUUCCCAAAGGUACUGCGCAUGCGCCGACCUACACAAUUUAAUUCUUUCUCGUGUUUUAUGUAUAAUUAAUCUGGUUUAGGGGGCGUUAUGUGCAUUAAACAACCUGGGCGCACUAUCAUUGCACAGAAGUGUAAAUGGAAACUAAAAAUUACACUUAUUAUCAUAAAUAAAUACAAAAGCAGUUUGUAAUGAGCUAUAUUUACUAUAACUUUGCCAUGGUACAAUGAAUUAUGCACUCCAAAUCUAAUAACGUACAUCUACUGGAAUAUCACUGGGUACAUGCCCUAAAAUAGUGCUUCUUUUGUAUUUUUACAGUUAAAUAUUCAUUGGGGCAGCACGGUUCGACAAGGUAGCAGAAUUCGACAGAACGCCGGCCCUCUUUCUCCAGUCCAGCUCCGCCCGCCCUCUCAUCAACAGACUUUUGGAAGAAACCAAAGUCACUGGAAAAGAGGGGGAGAUCUGAGAUUUUGAGGCAUGAUAUUUAAUAUAAUUAAAAUAAUAUAUUUCACCGUUCCUAUUAAAUUAUGAUUAUUUACGUUUAUAUCUCACGUUUUAAUACAAUAUAACAUAUAAUGAAUAUAUUAAAACACACAAAUUAAAAACCUUUCGGGCAACAAAAAAACCCCGAACCUAGUUUUGAAUGGUCGUGGCUCCACUCCACUGAAUCAGUAGCCACAAGAAAGACGUCCUUUUCUCCGGGAGCUGCAUGGGGACUGCAGGAGUCCAAAGCCUCGCUGUGUUUUAUGGGGAACAGUUAUUAAUAUUGGGUCAAAUAAUCCAGUAUUUCUUCACUCUGGUGCUGAAGGUGCGCUGCGCUGCUCUUUACUGUGUUAACCCCUUUACUCUGUUUUCAUUUAAAGCCCCUCAGUCUUAAAACAGCGGCACUAGCGGGCCUUCAGCACCGAUAGUGAUUAUUACCCUGCCGGAUUAGAUUAGAGCAGCGCGGCGGAGCUCUGUAAGUCCCGGUGACGCUGCAACUGGAUUUUAUAAAGAUAUGAGAGAAGAAUGCUUUCGUCGAGGAUUUAACAUGAAAAGGUAAGCUGCUGUUAUGUUCUGAUCUGUGCAGGCAGUUUAUGCACUUAACGUAACUCCGUUAGACAACUAACUUACAGAGCUAGCGUUUGUUGUGUCUCCGGCUUAGUUUUCUGCAGUCCAUGAUUAUUAGCUAAGGUGUUUAUUUUGACCCCAAACAGCAGCAUUCACUGCAUUUUGCAUACUAUUAACUAACCGCGUGAAUCCACUGUACGUGCAAGUUAGCGUUAACUUCAUCACGAACGAGUAACGGAUUAGUAAACACACUCUUGUCUUUUUUUUUAAUCCUCACAGUUUCUGUCAGAAAACACUGAAAGAAAACUUCUCCUCUGUCUAUGUUUAUACAGCGAUGGUUUGGGUUUAAAGCUGGGUUUGUUGUGCUGGAUAUUUGGUUAGGAGAAGGAGAUUUUAUAAGAUGUGUGGCUGCAUAAUUGUGAACUGAGAUCGCGGUCUGUGAAGUUACACCCGCAGGUAACCAGUGACUUUAAAAAACAAACACAGCUGUUACUGGACUUGAUGGGUUUAAAAAAAAUGAGUUAAUUAAUUUUAAAAGACUAGGCUACUAAUGUUGGCCCUGCUGAGUCCAGCUGAUCAUCCAGAAAUAAACAUUACCUAUGCUGGUCAAAAGCUAUUUAAAGAGCUAACCUCCCAGGGUGUGUUUGUUUGUUUUUUUCUGGUUUUGAGCAUUUUUUUAAGGAGGGAGUGUAAGUCUGUGCUGCAGUAGAAGAGUGUAAUUUUAGAAAAGUUGCUGUAUUUGUCUCACUGCCUUAGAUAGUAUAGACUUUAAACAUGUUACUAAAAAUUAACACUGGACCGUGUUUUUAAAUACUUGCCAUUCUGGAUGUCCUGAACAUUUUCAUGCAGGCCUGUGUGUUUUAAAAAAUAUAUAUUUUAUUCAUUCUAUUUUAUGUCGGUUAGUUUUAUUUAUAUAAAGUAAGACCUGUAGAUCUACUUUAUUGGAUAAAUUGAUACAGCUACCAUGAACUGUUUUGUUUCUGUUCUGUAAAAUCAGGCCCAGUUCCAAAAGACACAACACCCUCAGUGUCCUGGAGCUCCAGCUGAAGCACUGGCCACCUUCUCCAUCCCCACCCAAAAGAGGAAGAUCAGCAGCAGUGGAGGGUCCCAGGAUGUUGAGAUGGUAGUGCAGAGCGGUACUUCUAAGGCAGCUAGUUGAAGGCGUGAUUGAGGUCCAUGCCAGAGGGGUUCUGCACUGUGACCUCAAGCCAUAGAACAUCCUGGUUCAGAUGUACAGUUAGGAACCGCGCCUUCAUCUUCUGUUCUUCUGGUAUGGGUUUUCAGUGAACACUACAGGCAGAGAAUAGAGUUGCACGGUGUACCGAAGGUUCGAUUCUUUUUCGAUACUACGUCAUCACAAACGAUUCGGUUCUUUAGCGUUCGAUGCUUUCGAUACUGUAUAAAGCCCAGUCACUAGCUUCAAAUGAGUCAAAUUAGUAGGCGCGAUUUGAUUCAGUUCAUAAGAAAACUGAUUCACACUGCAGCAGUCGGUGUGGCAGGAUUCAGAUAAACUUAGUGUUCUGAACAAAUGAAUCGAUUCACGCGCAAGCCAGCAGAGCAGCAGCGAGUGUAGAAUGGCGACGGCUAAAAUAACAGAUGUCUCUCGUCCGCGACUUGUGGACAAAACGGGCGCGAGGAGUGAAGUGUGGGAAAAUAGUCUGAGAUGUAGGCAUCUGUUUUUUAUUUAUAUUUUUAUUUUUAAAUAAAAUAACGAAAAUAACGAAAACUACUACGUAAACUACUUUAUUUAUUAGCGCUGUUUUCACUCCCGCAGUUGUACAGCGGGGGGUGUUGUGCCGAUUCUGUCCGCGAAUCGGGAGUCGGAUUCAGUAGCGGAUUCGGCACAAGCGCGGCGGCACCUCGCGGUCCGCGGUGUUAGUUGUAAGCACUCGUGCUAGCCGCAAAAUACGACAGAAAACACUGAGGGAGCUGCAGACUUAUGUGUGGGACUAGAAUAUGAGCACGAGGAGAUAAGAGAACCUUUACCUGUGAGUAGCUCACAUCAGAACACGCAAAUCUCUCUCACUCUCGCUGUGUCUCUUUCUCUGUCUCUCUCUCUGUCUCUCUCUCUCUCGCACGUGAACGCCUCCGCGUUUGACCUGCAGCACUGUGUUUAGCUGUUCUUAAAAAUCAUUUUAAUUAAAUAAUAGUUAUAUGCUUCUAUGUUACAGUGUUAUUUAACAUAAUAGCAGACAAGCACCCUGAUCUCUACAAAGAGCUGUGAAGUCGACAGGUUAGUGGAGUUAGUCAAGAUACACUCUGUCUGUAGCUUUACUAAGAUUUACUAGCGACUGCUUAUUAAAAACGGUAAACGGUUGAUUAAUAAAACGGAGCAGUGAGUGUUAAAAUGAACAUAACAUUGUAAUGUUCUUCUGUCUCUUUAUUUUCCUUAUUCAGAACUUAACUUCUGCCCGCCCGUCAGGUUCACAUAGUCAGGCUACCAUUACCUCUGGUUUUAGUUUUAGUUUUUAGGAAGUGUUUAGAUAAUUAUGUUAUAGUUAAGGUUAUAAUAACGAAACUUGUUUUUUGUUCAAAUGUUUCAUUUUAGAAUAAAAACGUUUGCACCUAUUGUUCAGUGUUCAAUCCAGUUCAGUCAAAAAUAAACAUUUUAUGUUCAGAUAUUUUUAUUGUUUUUUUUUUCUUCCAAGUAUCGUUUUGGUAUCGAGAAUCGUGAUACUACAGUUGGUAUCGGUAUCGAAGUCAAAAUUUUGGUAUCGUGACAACCCUAGCAGAGAACUGUCUUCUUUGUAGAAGCUACCAUUACUGAAUAGAGAUUCAGGUCAAAAACAUUCCUUAACGCUCAGUCACUGUCUCUAAUUUACUUUUCAGGACCUUCCUCAUGAGUGGUUUACCCAUGAGGCCAAAUCCUCUACAGUGUUGCAGAUAGGAAUCAUCCUGCUGUGUGUGAGAGGUGACCCUUCAACACCAGCACGGAGAUCACCUCAAAGAAGUCUCAGAUCAUCUCUCCACCAUCUGCUCUAUGACCCCUGGCUAAGUAUACACCACGACACAGCCACCACAUCAGGCACACCUCAGUCAGGUACCAUAUAAAACAAUAAUAAUAAUAAUUUUAAAAAAUCUAUAUUUUCAAUCUCUAGUUUAGAGAGUUCUCUAGUAGAGCUGGGCGAUUAAUCGAUUUUAUCGAUAAAUUCGAACUUACAGUUAAGGACAAUGUGUUUUCAUGAAAAUCAAUUUUCUCUGAGUUUUCUUUUUCACCACAGACGCUCCUCUGUGGGCACAGAGUGAGCUUAGCUAGCUCCCUCCAUACCUCCCUCCCGCGCGCGCACCCCCCACCCCUCCCUCCCUUGCACGCACAAACACACGCACACACACACACAUACACAAAACACAUGACGGCGGAGCUUAAGAGCAACUAGCUCCGUGAUCUGGAGUUGGUUCGGUUUUGCGGCGUCGGACGUAGACCAAACAGGUCCUCGCUGUAAGGUGAACCAAUUUAUCACUAUACCUUAAACAGAACCAUGUAGCGGAGUGGGAGAAGUGCUGCUACCAUAGGAAUGAACGCAGCAGCAGCACCAGUUCACCAUUCAACGUUAAACAAGGAACUGUCCCUGGCACAUCUUCCCACCGUGUACCAGGUUCUGUAUGCACUACAAGUUAAGAUGUUUUGCAUAUUCAUGAGAAAAGAUCUCAUUUUAUAGAACACUGGCACUUAUUUAAAUGCUUUGUUUUGCAAUUCUAGCCCAAUAGGGAAAAGUAUUUACUUAAGAGCAUAUAAAUUGUACUUGUUUUCUAUUGUCUACUUUGUAAGUUUUAUCAAAAAAGGGCACCAUUUUAUUUAUUUCUAUUUGUUUUUAAGGGUGUGUUUAUUUAUUUAUAUAUUUUUUAAGUUUGAGGGUGCAUUGUGUCAGUUCCUAAACUAUGUUGGAGAAAGCUUUCUAAAAGUCACUAGAUGUUCUCACUGUUUACAAUAGUUUUUUUUGCUUGUUUCUGGUUGCACUUUAACCACAAAUGGAACAUUUUAAGUGAAAACAAAUUAAAUAAGAACUAGUUUUUAACCAUUUCUUUAUCAUCUUUAGUUUGAUUUUUAGUAGGGGAAAAAAUCGAUUUAAAUCGAAAAUUGGAUCGGCCAUAUCGCCCAGCUCUAUACUCUAGUUUAGAGGUUUUUUUUUAUAAAACACACCUAAGGAAAAUAGCAGGUAUUAAUAAAGCUAUUGAUUCCAUACUUUUAAAAAGGUAAUGAUUUUCUUUAACUAUAUAAAUGUUUUAAUCGUUUUGUGUAUUGUAUGCUUUUAAUUGCUUCCUGUUUUGUAUUUGUGUUCAUGUACUUAAGGCUUUAAUCCUUUUAUCUUGAUAUUGUUUAUCUUUUGAUGUUUAUUAAUUACUUAACUGUAUUUAUCUUUAUGUAGUAUACUGUUAGUGUUUUAAUCCAUACACUUUUUGUAUAUAUUUAUUUUAUUGCUUAGUUACUUGCUUUAUUAAUGGUUAUUGUAUUGGUGUUUUAGUCUUAUUUUGCGCUUAUAUUCAUUAAAAACAUUUUAACGUUUGUCUUUUAGUGCUUUAAUCAAUUAAUAUUGUACUUACCUUUUACUAUUUUACUAUUAAUCUUUCUGUACUUAAUUAUACAUUAUUUUUUAUUUAUUUUUUUAUAAAAUUAAAGGCGGGUUUAUUAAUUGUAUGUCUUUAUACGGGAUUUUAUAUUUGCAUUGUAUAUAUUUUUGUUUCAUUUAAUGUUUAUGCUCUUUGUCUUUUUCAGAUUUUUACAUUUUUAAUUUGUGUAUUGACCCAAGGAGUAUGGGUUCCUCUCAAGGUUUCUAUCUCUCUUUCUGAGAGAAUUUUCUUUGCCGCUGUCUCCUUUGUGCUUACUCAAAAGAGGUUUGGACACUUUUUUUUUUUUUUUUUUAACUGUUCUUAAUUUUGUUUGUUUCUUAACUUUGUCAAUAAAUGUUUUUUAUUGCUAUCA
Astyanax mexicanus (Mexican tetra) is the source of this 6594-nucleotide long non-coding RNA. RefSeq lists it as uncharacterized. NCBI's taxonomy places the organism in Eukaryota, Metazoa, Chordata, Actinopteri, Characiformes, Acestrorhamphidae. The transcript has 3 exons. The record is from RefSeq and is a predicted model, not a curated record.